Molecule: ribosomal RNA, 404 nt
Filed under: uncultured eukaryote
Lineage: Eukaryota
Description: SSU rRNA
Rfam family: Eukaryotic small subunit ribosomal RNA
Source: RNAcentral
CAAUAGCGUAUAUUAAAGUUGUUGCGGUUAAAAGCUCGUAGUUGGAUUUCUGUCGAAGGCGGCCGGUCCGCACUAUGUGCGUGUAUCUGGUUCGGUUUUGGCAUCCUCUUGGGGAACGUUUCUGUGCUUGAUUGCAUGGGGCGGGGAGUUCAAGACUUUUACUUUGUAGGAAAUUAGAGUGUUCACGGCAAGCUUUCGCUUUGAAUACAUUAGCAUGGAAUAAUAAUAUAGGGCGUAAGUUCUAUUUUGUUGGUUUCUAGGACAUACGCAAUGAUUAAUAGGGACAAUUGGGGGCAUUCGUAUUAACGCGUCAGAGGUGGAAUUCUUAGAUUGCGUUACGACGAACUACUGCGAAAGCAUUUGCCAAGGAUGUUUUCAUUGAUCAAGAACGAAAGUAAUGGGGA